RNAcentral lists this ribosomal RNA (1464 nucleotides) under Fibrobacteraceae bacterium. RNAcentral describes it as "partial 23S ribosomal RNA". It matches the Rfam family "Bacterial large subunit ribosomal RNA", at positions 1 to 1479 of the family's 2925-position model. Lineage: Bacteria; Pseudomonadati; Fibrobacterota; Fibrobacteria; Fibrobacterales; Fibrobacteraceae. The record is from RNAcentral.
GGUAAAGCUAAUAAGAGCAUAUGGAGAAUGCCUUGGCAUUGGGAGCCGAAGAAGGACGUGGUUAACUGCGAAAAGCUACGGGGAGUCGUAAGCAGACAUUGAUCCGUAGAUGUCCGAAUGGAGCAAUCCGCAUAAGAGAAGCUUAUGCAUCAUGCGAUGAAUAAAAUAGUCGUAUGAGGGGAACCGCCUGAACUGAAACAUCUAAGUAGGGCGAGGAAGAGAAAUCAAACGAGAUUUCGUAAGUAGUGGCGAGCGAAAGCGAAAUAGGCCAAACCAUGAGUAGCAAUACACAUGGGGUUGCGGACUGUAUAAUGAAUUCUUGAGUUUUAGUUGAACUGCAUGGGAAGGCAGACCGAAGAGUGUGAGAGUCACGUAAACGAAAAGAUGAGAGAUCAGACAGUAUCCAGAGUACCGCCGGGCACGUGAAAUCCGGUGGGAAGCCGGGGGGACCACCCUCCAAGCCUAAAUACUACCCAAUGACCGAUAGCGAAGAGUACUGUGAAGGAAAGGUGAAAAGAACCCCGGGAGGGGAGUGAAAAAGAACCUGAAACCAUAUGCUUACAAGCACAUAGAGCACGUCAAAGUGUGAUAUGGUACCUAUUGUAGAAUGGUCCGGCGAGUUAUCCUAUUAAGCAAGGUUAAGGACUUAAGGUCUGUAGCCGAAGCGAGAGCGAGUCUUAACAGGGCGUUAAGUUUAAUGGGAUAGACCCGAAACCGAGUGACCUAGCCAUGUCCAGGCUGAAGUGGAGGUAAAACUCCAUGGAGGGCCGAACCGACCCCCGUUGAAAAGGUGGCGGAUGAGGUGUGGCUAGCGGAGAAAUUCCAAUCGAACUCGGAUAUAGCUGGUUCUCCUCGAAAUAGCUUUAGGGCUAGCGUUACAAGUGAUUAUCGGAGGUAAAGCACUGAAUGGGCUAGGGGUCGAGAGAUUACUGAACCCUAUCAAACUAAGAAUGCCGAAUAAUUGAAUUGUAGCAGUCAGACUGUGUGAGAUAAGUCUCAUAGUCAAAAGGGAAAGAGCCCAGACCCACAGCUAAGGUCCCCAAAUAGGUUUAAGUGGAAAAGGAUGUGGGGUUGCCCAGACAACCAGGAUGUUGGCUUAGAAGCAGCCACUCAUUAAAAGAGUGCGUAAUAGCUCACUGGUCGAGUGACCCUGCGCCGAAAAUUCAACGGGGCUAAAAUCUAUACCGAAGCUUGGGAUUGGUACGUAAGUAUCAGUGGUAGAGGAGCGUCGUAUAAGGGGAGAAGUCAUAGCGAAAGCGAUGGUGGACUUUAUACGAGUGAGAAUGCCGGAAUGAGUAGCGAGAAUUAUGUGAGAAUCAUAAUGGCCGAAAGUCUGAGGUUUUAGGAGGAAGGUUCGUCCGCUCCUAGUAAGCCGGGAGCUAAGGUGAGGCGGAAACGCGUAGCCGAUGCACAUACGGUAGAAAUUCCGUAGCCUCCGAAAUAUUUAAGCACAAGGACACUUUU